RNAcentral lists this ribosomal RNA (2902 nucleotides) under Klebsiella pneumoniae. RNAcentral describes it as "23S ribosomal RNA". It matches the Rfam family "Bacterial large subunit ribosomal RNA". Lineage: Bacteria; Pseudomonadati; Pseudomonadota; Gammaproteobacteria; Enterobacterales; Enterobacteriaceae. The record is from RNAcentral.
GGUUAAGCGACUAAGCGUACACGGUGGAUGCCCUGGCAGUCAGAGGCGAUGAAGGACGUGCUAAUCUGCGAAAAGCGUCGGUAAGGUGAUAUGAACCGUUAUAACCGGCGAUGUCCGAAUGGGGAAACCCAGUGUGAUUCGUCACACUAUCGUUAACUGAAUACAUAGGUUAACGAGGCGAACCGGGGGAACUGAAACAUCUAAGUACCCCGAGGAAAAGAAAUCAACCGAGAUUCCCCCAGUAGCGGCGAGCGAACGGGGAGCAGCCCAGAGUCUGAAUCAGCUUGUGUGUUAGUGGAACGGUCUGGAAAGUCCGACGGUACAGGGUGAUAGUCCCGUACACCAAAAUGCACAGGCUGUGAACUCGAAGAGUAGGGCGGGACACGUGGUAUCCUGUCUGAAUAUGGGGGGACCAUCCUCCAAGGCUAAAUACUCCUGACUGACCGAUAGUGAACCAGUACCGUGAGGGAAAGGCGAAAAGAACCCCGGCGAGGGGAGUGAAAAAGAACCUGAAACCGUGUACGUACAAGCAGUGGGAGCACCUUCGGGUGUGACUGCGUACCUUUUGUAUAAUGGGUCAGCGACUUAUAUUCUGUAGCAAGGUUAACCGUAUAGGGGAGCCGCAGGGAAACCGAGUCUUAACUGGGCGUUAAGUUGCAGGGUAUAGACCCGAAACCCGGUGAUCUAGCCAUGGGCAGGUUGAAGGUUGGGUAACACUAACUGGAGGACCGAACCGACUAAUGUUGAAAAAUUAGCGGAUGACUUGUGGCUGGGGGUGAAAGGCCAAUCAAACCGGGAGAUAGCUGGUUCUCCCCGAAAGCUAUUUAGGUAGCGCCUCGUGAACUCAUCUUCGGGGGUAGAGCACUGUUUCGGCUAGGGGGUCAUCCCGACUUACCAACCCGAUGCAAACUACGAAUACCGAAGAAUGUUAUCACGGGAGACACACGGCGGGUGCUAACGUCCGUCGUGAAGAGGGAAACAACCCAGACCGCCAGCUAAGGUCCCAAAGUCAUGGUUAAGUGGGAAACGAUGUGGGAAGGCACAGACAGCCAGGAUGUUGGCUUAGAAGCAGCCAUCAUUUAAAGAAAGCGUAAUAGCUCACUGGUCGAGUCGGCCUGCGCGGAAGAUGUAACGGGGCUAAACCAUGCACCGAAGCUGCGGCAGCGACACUAUGUGUUGUUGGGUAGGGGAGCGUUCUGUAAGCCUGCGAAGGUGACCUGUGAGGGUUGCUGGAGGUAUCAGAAGUGCGAAUGCUGACAUAAGUAACGAUAAAGCGGGUGAAAAGCCCGCUCGCCGGAAGACCAAGGGUUCCUGUCCAACGUUAAUCGGGGCAGGGUGAGUCGACCCCUAAGGCGAGGCCGAAAGGCGUAGUCGAUGGGAAACAGGUUAAUAUUCCUGUACUUGGUGUUACUGCGAAGGGGGGACGGAGAAGGCUAUGUUAGCCGGGCGACGGUUGUCCCGGUUUAAGCAUGUAGGCUGGUUGUCCAGGCAAAUCCGGAUAAUCAAGGCUGAGGUGUGAUGACGAGGCACUACGGUGCUGAAGUAACAAAUGCCCUGCUUCCAGGAAAAGCCUCUAAGCAUCAGGUAACAUUAAAUCGUACCCCAAACCGACACAGGUGGUCAGGUAGAGAAUACCAAGGCGCUUGAGAGAACUCGGGUGAAGGAACUAGGCAAAAUGGUGCCGUAACUUCGGGAGAAGGCACGCUGGUGUGUAGGUGAAGUCCCUGCGGAUGGAGCUGAGACCAGUCGAAGAUACCAGCUGGCUGCAACUGUUUAUUAAAAACACAGCACUGUGCAAACACGAAAGUGGACGUAUACGGUGUGACGCCUGCCCGGUGCCGGAAGGUUAAUUGAUGGGGUUAUCCGUAAGGAGAAGCUCUUGAUCGAAGCCCCGGUAAACGGCGGCCGUAACUAUAACGGUCCUAAGGUAGCGAAAUUCCUUGUCGGGUAAGUUCCGACCUGCACGAAUGGCGUAAUGAUGGCCAGGCUGUCUCCACCCGAGACUCAGUGAAAUUGAACUCGCUGUGAAGAUGCAGUGUACCCGCGGCAAGACGGAAAGACCCCGUGAACCUUUACUAUAGCUUGACACUGAACAUUGAGCCUUGAUGUGUAGGAUAGGUGGGAGGCUUUGAAGCGUGGACGCCAGUCUGCGUGGAGCCAACCUUGAAAUACCACCCUUUAAUGUUUGAUGUUCUAACGUUGGCCCCUGACCGGGGUUGCGGACAGUGUCUGGUGGGUAGUUUGACUGGGGCGGUCUCCUCCCAAAGCGUAACGGAGGAGCACGAAGGUUAGCUAAUCCUGGUCGGACAUCAGGAGGUUAGUGCAAUGGCAUAAGCUAGCUUGACUGCGAGCGUGACGGCGCGAGCAGGUGCGAAAGCAGGUCAUAGUGAUCCGGUGGUUCUGAAUGGAAGGGCCAUCGCUCAACGGAUAAAAGGUACUCCGGGGAUAACAGGCUGAUACCGCCCAAGAGUUCAUAUCGACGGCGGUGUUUGGCACCUCGAUGUCGGCUCAUCACAUCCUGGGGCUGAAGUAGGUCCCAAGGGUAUGGCUGUUCGCCAUUUAAAGUGGUACGCGAGCUGGGUUUAGAACGUCGUGAGACAGUUCGGUCCCUAUCUGCCGUGGGCGCUGGAGAAUUGAGGGGGGCUGCUCCUAGUACGAGAGGACCGGAGUGGACGCAUCACUGGUGUUCGGGUUGUCAUGCCAAUGGCACUGCCCGGUAGCUAAAUGCGGAAGAGAUAAGUGCUGAAAGCAUCUAAGCACGAAACUUGCCCCGAGAUGAGUUCUCCCUGAGACUUUAAGUCUCCUGAAGGAACGUUAAAGACGAUGACGUUGAUAGGCCGGGUGUGUAAGCGCAGCGAUGCGUUGAGCUAACCGGUACUAAUGAACCGUGAGGCUUAACCUU